UUUUUUUUUUUUUUUUUUUUUUUAAUUUGAUGACAAUAGAAGAAAUAGCUUGAAAAGGUGUUUUAACCUUUUGUGAUAUAGUUGAGCAUCCAGAAUAUUAUGUUCAUCUUACUGCUGCUGUGGAACAGGUUCUGGAUUUCAUGCUGCAUUAACAAAAAGUUUUUCAAUUAACUGUAAGUAUCCUUUGUUGCUUGUUGGAAUCUACUCUGCAGACAUAACUCCUGUUAUCUCGCUUAUAAGAAAUGCAUAAUUUUAAUCUGGUGUCAGUCCAAAAUUUAAAAUUGUGCUGUAAGUUCUUUCUCCCCAGUUUUUAUAGUUUGACAGCUUGCAAACUACUCUGUAAUAGGGUCAGAGUUAAUAGUAUUCUGUAUCCAUAGUAAUGACUGUGUAUCGGGCUUAGAUGAGAAUUUUUUCAAUAUAACCUGCCUUUAAAUUGUUAAUGAACAAAAUUUCUUUAAAGGUAGGCUUGUUAAUUUUCUUUGUGUGUUCCUGAUGGAAUUCACCAUAGCCUUACAGCAUAUCUGAAAAGGUAACUCAUUAUAAGAGAAUUGGCAUUUGCAUGUUCAAGUCAGAACCUGUACAGUAUAUAAGGCGUACAAACUUUGAAUUGGGUUUUAGUUAACUAUAUUCAGGGGUCCAGGAUGCCAAAAUAAGUGUGACAGUUUGAAACAUUUUUUUAAUUUGCUGCUUUCCCUUUGAUCUAGUUGGAAGAAUGUAUUGAUGAUUUGUAUACAAUACUGCCUUUGAGAGGGGCUCUUAAGUGGGGGGGCACACUUCACAUAUCUACUACCUGGAGAAUUGCUUUGUGUCCCACUGUUUAAACAAAUAAUUUAAAAAAGAAAAAGGCAAAAAGUAUGAUGUUCUUCACUUGAACUAAUCAAAUACAAUAGGUUAUAAAUUGUGUAUUGUAAAUAAAAGUUCACUCUGUGAGUGCACAUUUUGGUAAAUUAUUUAUUUAUGUUAGCAUUAAAAAGUUUAAAAAUUUGCAUUUGACCAGGAUAUAAAUAAGGUAUGUUGGACAUGGCUUUGCUUUAUACCUUGAUAUUAAAACUGGUGUUUCAUCCUGGUAUUUUAAAGCUGCUUUGAGUUCUUUUUUUUUUUUUUUUUUUUUUUUUUUUUAAUGUAAACUAACCUCCUGCAUGACAGAGGUUAAAAUUUUGUCUGCACUUGAGUUCACUUGGGUUUACAUUUGAAAUGCGCAUGUUUAUUUAUACAGAUUUCAAUAAAGCUAUUCAAGGCCUUA
RNAcentral lists this long non-coding RNA (1243 nucleotides) under Strigops habroptila (Kakapo). RNAcentral describes it as "lncRNA (ENSSHBG00005016406.1)". The record is from RNAcentral. Lineage: Eukaryota; Metazoa; Chordata; Aves; Psittaciformes; Psittacidae.